Long non-coding RNA from Lagenorhynchus albirostris (white-beaked dolphin), 4386 nucleotides. RefSeq lists it as uncharacterized. The transcript is spliced from 3 exons. NCBI's taxonomy places the organism in Eukaryota, Metazoa, Chordata, Mammalia, Artiodactyla, Delphinidae. The record is from RefSeq and is a predicted model, not a curated record.
ACUCGCUCCACUGCGGCGCGGGAUUGCCCAACACACGCGCUUAGCGACUGCCCAGGCCGACCCUGCUUCUGCGCGUGCGCCCCCGGUCAUGGAUGCGCGCGUGCGCGGUCCAGACGGACGUAGUCCCCUUAGCGAAAAGCUGAGGAGUAGAGGGUCUGAAAUGCCACGGGAAGAUGAGGGAACUCUGUGGAAGACUGGAUGGAGGAAAUAAUUGGCUGGUGGAAGGACCCUUGCGAGAAUGCGCCAUCGUGUGGGCAGGGAAGCAGCUGAAGAGGGAAUCACCCCCGAUUCCAGCCUUUAGAAUUCAAAGAGAUGAGGAGGAACCAGGAAGGAAGAUUGAAGAGUCCAGGGUGUUAUGAGAAAAAACUCCAAGAGCAUGCAGCCUUAGACGACAAGUGAAGAAGAGUUUCACAGGAGUAAGAGGCUUGUUUUGAUCCACCUCUUGAAGUGGUUCCCACCAGGAACCCAAUCACGUGCAACAAAAGGGCAGCUGACCCAGUCCAUCCUGACCUUGUUGGUUUGUUGGUGAAAUACAAGAAUCUUUUAGCUGAGGUAUACGGAUUACCUGAAAAUAAAACACCAUGGGAAAUUAUAUCCUCUGUAGGGAGAGAAACAUUCUGAUAAAAAGCUCAAAGUAUUAUCUGAACUCAGUUUUGCUGUUUUCUCAAUAUUGAAGCCUCUUAUCACCGAGGAGCACUAAUGUAGACCCAAAUCUGUCUUUUGCCAGAGAAGUCCCUUUGAAGAUGGUAUAAUAUGUAGUGCCGCUUUUGAGUUACUGCUGAAUGCUGUAGUAUUAGAACAUUGCUUAGGAACUGCCAUGCUCAAAAUGUAUAUAAUAAUAAUAGUUACAUGUAUUAAGCAUUUUUCAAUGGAAAGGGUGAGUUCCCACUUUCCAAUAUAGCACCAAAUGGCAAAUACCCACUGCUCUUAUUAAAUACUUAAUGAAACAUCUGAGUAAUAUCAACAGAUGAAAAAGAAACCACAUUUGUAGGAAAUGCCUUGACACCCUGUGAUGAACUAGAGAGUGCCUAUAGGAAUUCUUUAGUUGAACUCAAGCACCCUUAAACAUUUGUUGCAAGAGAUAGGUAACCAAGUUUGGAAUCCCAAAGGCCAUUGUCAUUGUUAAAGGUAACAUGAUGUGGCUGCUUAUGUCUGUAUUGCCUCUAUGGUUACCUUUAAGUAAAAUGUUCUAAAUGCUUUUAUUGGGACAUUGACCACCCUUUGAAUAAGUAGUUAUCUAUGGUGUCUGUAUUGGUUUGCUUGGGCUGCCAUAAUAAAGUGCCAUGGACUGGGUGGCUUAAAUAACAGAAAUUUAUUUUUUCACAGUUCUGGAGGCUAGAAGUCCAACAUAAGGUGUCAGCAGGGCUAGUUUCUUCUUUUUAAUGUUUUCCCCAGCUUUAUUGCCAUAUAACUGACAUAACAUUGUGUAAAUUUAAGAUGUACAAUGUGGUGAUUUGAUAUACACACGUAUUGCAAAAUAUUACCACAAUAAGGUUGGUUAAUACAUCCACCACCUCACAUAAUUACCUUUUUUUUUUUUUCAUGAUGAGACAGUUGGUUUCUUCUGAGGCCUAUCUCCUUGGCUUGUAGAUGGCCAUCUGUUCUCUGUGUCUUCGCUUGGUCACUGUGUCCAAAUUUCUUCCUCUCAUUAAGAACAUCAGUCAUGUUGAAUUAGGGCUCACCCUAAAGAUCUCAUUUUAACAUAGUUACUUCUUUAAACACCCUAUCCUCAAAUACAGUCACAUUCUGGGGUACUAGGGGCUAGGACUUCAACAUAUGAAUUUUGAGGGGACACACUCAGCCCAUAAGAGUGGCUUUAUUCCUUGAGACCUCUUUUCUGCUCAGGACCUCAUUAAAGUUCUUUUCUGCUAUCUUAUCUAUCAAUAGCCUGACUCCAGGUUUCAUGUAGAUAGAUAGAUAGAUAGAUAGAUAGAUAGAUAGAUAGAUAAUUUCUUUCAAUUUUUUAUGCUAACAUUUUCCCUCUUUUAGCAUAGAGAGGUGAAUAGAAAUUAAAUUUAAACAUAAUUUACAUAGAUACAAUAAAUCUUAUGACACUUUGGAGACAUUUCUUAGUUUUUUCUUUCAGGAAAAAAAUGUGAUGCAAAUCCCUGAAAAUUGUAGCAGUUUUACUAUGGGUAGCAUUGUUCUUCUCCACAGAAUAACUUACUGCUAAUACUUCUGAAGUUUGGGAAUUUUGAUCAUUUGGAUUUGGAUUCAAUUAGGGUUUAUGUCUAUGCCUAAUUCAUAAAAAAACUUUUAAACCAAAUUGUCAAAAAAGACAGGUUUUAAACCUUGUUUAAAGAAAAUAUGUAAGCUAUUUUCAAGAAUUUCCAAGUACUUUUUAAAAGCAAUUUUCUACAUGUACAUAAAGCAUUUGGUACCUAUACAUAUUUUUCAUCUGUUUGUCAAAACAGAUAUCUAAAAGGCUCUACAAGGUCUCAUUUUGACUUGAUUUUAGAUACUAUAUACAUUAAAAAGUAUUCCAUAGCUCAUAUUGGCAUUUUCUGAAUUUAAUAAAAAUUAGUGACAGUUUAACUGUGUCAAACUUAUUUAAAAAAAAAAAGUCUAGUGAUUUCAGUAGAGUACCUUCAGCAUGAGUCAUCUUUCCCUUUUCCAAUAACCUGUUAUUUAAUCCUACAGGAACACAAUUGUCUUGAUGAGACAGUUUUUCUCUUCACUGCAUACAUUUAAAUCUUUUGUUAUAAUUAACUUUAUCUCUUUGUGGGACAUACAAAAAUAAUUAUCAUGUGUUUCUGUCCAAUAAUGGAGAAACAGGUGCAAGAGAGCUAUAUUUAGGAAAAGCCAGGUAUAGAAGGGAUAAAUAUUAAAGUAUUCAGUUGGUGAUUUUGUUGUCUAGUUUAGGCAAUAUGAUAUUUAGCUAAAACUCUUGCAUAGUGCUAGGUGGGCUGCUGUAGUAGUAAAAGUUAAACAGGGAAUUCCCUGGUGGUCCAGUGGUUAGGACUUGGCACUUCCACUGAAGGGGGCCCGGGUUCGAUCCCUAGUUGGGGAACUAAGAUCCCACAAGCCAUGAGGCACGGCCAAGAAAAAAUUAAAAAAAAAAAAAAGUUAAACAACUUGUAAAAAAAAUUACUGAUAAUAUGUACAAUAAGGCCUAGUGUCUUAAAUUGAAGAUAAAUUUAAUGUGUUUUGCCAGUAUUUUUAAUUUGAUUUUCAUGGAAACUUUUAUUUGUGAGGGCAAUAUGACAGUGUUUUUUGCAGAUAAGAUGUUUUCUUCCCUUAGUGUAGUAAAAAGGCAAACAGUAGAAAGCUGGUAGAUGCAGCCAGCUCUGGAGGGGAGAAUGGAGGCAAUAUAAAUUUUGCAGCUAAAGAAAAAUAUAUGAGAACCAGUUAUUAUUAAUUUUAAUUGAAAUUUUAAUUGAGGUAAUUGUAGAUUCAUUUGCAGUUUUAAGAAAUAAUACAGAGAGAUCCACUGUAGAUUUUGCAAAGUUUCUCCCAAAUUUUUCAAAACUAUGGUAUAAUGUAACAGCCUAAAUAUUGACAUUGAUACAAUACAAUCCACUAAUAUUAUUCAAGUUCCCCCAGUUUUACUUGUACUCAUUUGUGUGUUUGUGUGUAUCAAGUUCUAAACAGUCAGUCAAAAUACUGAACAGUUAGUUUUAACAGCACAAAGAUCCUUCCCAUUGCCAUUUGUUAUCCACACCCACUUCCUUCGCAUCCCCAAAUCCUGGCAACCACUAAUGUCUUCUCCAUUUCUAAAAUGUUGUCAUUUCAAGAAUGUUAUAUACUGAAAAAAAAAAGUCAUGUACUCAAAAAGCUAAACAUAGAGUUAUCACAUGACCCAACAAUACCACUCCUGGAUAUAUAGACAAGAGAAUUAGAAAUAUAUUCACAUAAAAACUUGUAAAUGAAUGUUCACUGUAGCAUUUUUCAUAAAGCCAAAAAGUGGACACAACCCAAAUAUCCAUCAGCUGAUGAGUAGAUAUGCAAUAUGUGGUAUAUCCAUAUAGUAGAAUGUUAUUUAGCCAUAAAAAUGAAUGAAGUCCUGAUUCAUGCUCCAACAUGGUUGAACCUUGAAAACAUUAUGCUAAAUGAAAAGAAGCCAGUCACAAGAGGCAACAUAUUGUACAAUUCCAUUUAUAUAAAAUGUACAGAAUAGGCAAAUCCAUAGAAACAGAACAGAUUAGUGGUUGCCAGGAGCUAGGAGGAGGGGGGAAUGGGGAGUGACUACUAACAAGUAUGGGGUUUCUUUAGGGGAUAAUGAAAAUGUUCUGGAAUUAGAUCAUGGUGUUGGCUGCACAACUACAAAUAUACUAAAAACUGAAUUGUACACUUUAAAGGGUGAAUUUUAUGGUAUGUGGAUUAUAUCUCAAUUUAAAAAGUAAAAAAUUGUUCAAUAUGGCUGCACAAGUCUAUGAAUAUACUAAA